UCCCUGGAGGACUAGUGGUUAGGCCACAGGGCUCUCACCGCUGCGGCCCGUUCGAUUCCGGGCCAGGGAA
Molecule: transfer RNA, 70 nt
Filed under: Pangasianodon hypophthalmus (striped catfish)
Lineage: Eukaryota; Metazoa; Chordata; Actinopteri; Siluriformes; Pangasiidae
Description: tRNA-Glu
Source: RNAcentral